Molecule: long non-coding RNA, 1170 nt
Organism: Trifolium pratense (red clover)
Lineage: Eukaryota; Viridiplantae; Streptophyta; Magnoliopsida; Fabales; Fabaceae
Exons: 3
Source: RefSeq, a predicted model, not a curated record
CACUAGAAACAAGAAGAGACAGAAUGUGUCAUCUUUCUCUCUAAAACCUCACGCCCUUAUUCAUCUCCCCUUGCUACCACAUCAAAUCUACUCUAAAUUAGCAUGCAAUUUUAGAAACAGAAUUCUCAUGAGACACUAAAGCAAGUAAGCCCUAUUUCUUUUCAUCUUUUUCCCUCUUGGUCGAACCACACACUCCUCCUUCUAUUCUUGCAAAAUUCUGAUUUCACUCAUGUAUGAAUGGUUGCAUGUGAAUGAAUCAUGGUAGUAUAACUAUGGGUUGUUGUUUAGAACUGAAGUUGGAAGAGAAAGGAUGUACUGAAGUUCAAUUGAAGUUUCAUAUUUUAGAAUUUGGGCUUCAUUCAAAUCAUUGAUAAGGGAUUGUUACUAGUAUGGUGGUCAUCACUUCCCUCAUGAACUGUUAGUACUUGGAUUGAGUUGAUGUUGUGCAUAAAGUAAGGUAAGGAACUCAGUCUCCAUUUACAUAAGUAUACAUGAGUUUUCUCUUGUUGAAUCCAAACAUUUAAUCUUAACCCCACACAUGAAUAGAUGUUUACCUCUUCAUUUACUUUGAUUGCAUGUGAUGGAUUGAGUAAUUGCAAAUUGUGGAUGUUGGAAAAUCAAGUUGAGGUUCUUAUAAAGAAUCAUUGUUGGUUGAGGUAUGAAUGGAAGGCUGUGGAAACAGAAUUGGAGAAAGUUAAGAGUUAGAAAGUACUUAGAUUUCUGGAAAGCCGACGAAAUUCUCGUCGUUUUGGUGCCGACCGCGUAUAAUUUGGAUCGAUAUUGAGGGCUGGAGACCGCUUUGAAGUUGGAGCUAUGAUGCAAAAUUAUGCAGAAAAUUCUGAUUAUAGGUUUAUAGCAUUUCAGUUGCAAAGUAUGCGUUUCGGCGAGCUCUGGAAGUGUCGCUGGUAUUGUUCAAACUUAUUUUCAGAUAAGCAGGUUGUUCGAGGAUCGUGGCCUCGAAGCAUGAAGAUUCGGAUACGUGGUUUAUAUUAUGGAGCUGACGUUAAGUUAAUCUUAUGUUUGUAUAAGAUUCAGUUUAUUUAUGUUCAAUUGUUAGCUCAAUCAUAUAUUCAUUUAUUGGAUUUUUUGUAAUCCUAUUCAUGUAUUUGGUCUUUAUGUAAUGAAAAUUAAUGUUUCCCAAUUCAAUUAUGUUCACUCUUGUCGAUAUUC